This 290-nucleotide unclassified non-coding RNA is filed under the name Hevea brasiliensis (rubber tree). The record is from RNAcentral. Lineage: Eukaryota; Viridiplantae; Streptophyta; Magnoliopsida; Malpighiales; Euphorbiaceae.
GAGUACCGAUACGAACACCUCCAGGGGCCAAAGCACUGCUGUCACCAAAUACAGCGUUCUUGUUAACAGUAAUGUUGGCAAGGUCACAAAGCUUCUCCACUUUGUUACCAGUCAAACCGAGAGGACGAAGAUCCCAAAGAACAAGGUGGUUCUCAGUUCCGCUAGUGACAAGCUUGUAGUCUUUACUCAUCAAAAACUUGCCAAGAGCAACAGCAUUGGCCUUAACUUGCUUAGCAUAGGCCUUAAAACCGGGAGUCAUGGACUGUUUCAGAGCCACAGCUAAAGCACCG